GUUAAUGUAGCUUAAUAGUAAAGCAAAGCACUGAAAAUGCUUAGAUGAGUAUCUACACUCCAUAAACA
RNAcentral lists this transfer RNA (68 nucleotides) under Histiotus montanus (small big-eared brown bat). RNAcentral's name for it is "tRNA-Phe". It matches the Rfam family "tRNA". Rfam says of the family: Transfer RNA (tRNA) molecules are approximately 80 nucleotides in length. Their secondary structure includes four short double-helical elements and three loops (D, anti-codon, and T loops). Lineage: Eukaryota; Metazoa; Chordata; Mammalia; Chiroptera; Vespertilionidae. The record is from RNAcentral.